AUUGAACGCUGGCGGCAGGCCUAACACAUGCAAGUCGAGCGGAGCGGCGGACGGGUGAGUAAUGCCUAGGACUCUGCCUGUUAGUGGGGGAUAACGUCCGUAACCUGUAGCUACUCCCUCAUACUAUCAGAUGAGCCUAGGUCGGAUUAGCUAGUUGUUGGGGUAAAGGCCUACCAAGGCGACGAUCCGUAACUGGUCUGAGAGGAUGAUCAGUCACACUGGAACUGAGACACGGUCCAGACUACUACGGGAGGCAGCAGUGGGGAAUAUUGGACAAUGGGCGAAAGCCGGAUCCAGCCAUGCCGCGUGUGUGAAGAAGGUCUUCGGAGUGUAAAGCACUUUAAGUUGGGAGGCGUUACCAACAGAAUAAGCACCGGCUAACUUCGUGCCAGCAGCCGCGGUAAUUC
This 407-nucleotide ribosomal RNA is filed under the name uncultured bacterium. RNAcentral describes it as "partial 16S ribosomal RNA". It matches the Rfam family "Bacterial small subunit ribosomal RNA", at positions 30 to 526 of the family's 1533-position model. The record is from RNAcentral.